ACAGGUGGUGCAUGGUUGUCGUCAGCUCGUGUCGUGAGAUGUUGGGUUAAGUCCCGCAACGAGCGCAACCCUUGUCUUUAGUUGCCAUCAUUAAGUUGGGCACUCUAGAGAGACUGCCAGGGAUAACCUGGAGGAAGGUGGGGAUGACGUCAAAUCAUCAUGCCCCUUAUGCUUAGGGCUACACACGUGCUACAAUGGGUAGUACAGAGGGUUGCCAAGCCGUAAGGUGGAGCUAAUCCCUUAAAGCUACUCUCAGUUCGGAUUGUAGGCUGAAACUCGCCUACAUGAAGCUGGAGUUACUAGUAAUCGCAGAUCAGAAUGCUGCGGUGAAUGCGUUCCCGGGUCUUGUACACACCGCCCGUCACACCACGGGA
RNAcentral lists this ribosomal RNA (374 nucleotides) under Clostridioides difficile. RNAcentral's name for it is "bacterial SSU rRNA". It matches the Rfam family "Bacterial small subunit ribosomal RNA", at positions 1034 to 1409 of the family's 1533-position model. Lineage: Bacteria; Bacillati; Bacillota; Clostridia; Peptostreptococcales; Peptostreptococcaceae. The record is from RNAcentral.